Molecule: ribosomal RNA, 458 nt
Filed under: uncultured Enterobacteriaceae bacterium
Lineage: Bacteria; Pseudomonadati; Pseudomonadota; Gammaproteobacteria; Enterobacterales; Enterobacteriaceae
Description: bacterial SSU rRNA
Rfam family: Bacterial small subunit ribosomal RNA
Source: RNAcentral
GCACAAGCGGUGGAGCAUGUGGUUUAAUUCGAUGCAACGCGAAGAACCUUACCUGGUCUUGACAUCCACGGAAGUUUUCAGAGAUGAGAAUGUGCCUUCGGGAACCGUGAGACAGGUGCUGCAUGGCUGUCGUCAGCUCGUGUUGUGAAAUGUUGGGUUAAGUCCCGCAACGAGCGCAACCCUUAUCCUUUGUUGCCAGCGGUCCGGCCGGGAACUCAAAGGAGACUGCCAGUGAUAAACUGGAGGAAGGUGGGAUGACGUCAAGUCAUCAUGGCCCUUACGACCAGGGCUACACACGUGCUACAAUGGCGCAUACAAAGAGAAGCGACCUCGCGAGAGCAAGCGGACCUCAUAAAGUGCGUCGUAGUCCGGAUUGGAGUCUGCAACUCGACUCCAUGAAGUCGGAAUCGCUAGUAAUCGCGGAUCAGCAUGCCGCGGUCGAAUACGUUCCGGGCCUU